Molecule: RNA transcript, 1319 nt
Organism: Daktulosphaira vitifoliae (grape phylloxera)
Lineage: Eukaryota; Metazoa; Arthropoda; Insecta; Hemiptera; Phylloxeridae
Gene name: metacaspase-2-like
Exons: 2
Source: RefSeq, a predicted model, not a curated record
UUAUCUUAUGAAAAGGGAUACUCGAAGCGAAUGAAAAAAGUUUCAAUCUAUAUGAACUCGUGUUGAUAAUGUAAAUCAAAUGAUUUUCGCCGGGAAACAAUAUUAUACUACACAUUGUCAUCGGUUUUUUUAUUGUCUCUGUACAAUAGACGUUAAGUAAACAAGUAUAAAAAUUAUGAAACAGAAAUGCGAGCAAACAUUUCAAGCAUUGUUUCAUUUUAGCGAACAGACGGUAAAUGACUUAAAAUAAACUCCAUUCGUGAACCUUUACAUUUUCUAAACAGUUUAUCAAUAACGAAUACAAACUUAAAUUUGAUUACUUAAUUAUUACGCUGACACUGGCAUUCCUCGCGAUUAUUGUUGUUCAGACCAACCGAACAAUUGUGCGCGUAUAAAUUCGGUUACGCAAUUUUGAAGAUGACACGUUAUCUUAUCCACAGUGCAAAAUGAAACGUGACAAAUGAGCUCCGAGCGACCGAUGACUACUGUUUACAAGGUUAUGGGAAUACCCAACUGGUCAGUUCGGCGCUAGAAACAUGAAGCGAGACGUUGUCAACCUUUUCCCGCGCUGCGGAUGGCCAUUUUCUUCGAUAAUGGUCGUGGGUGUUCUGUGUUCGGUUUCGGUUUCGACGGCAGCAAUAAGUGGCGGCCGUGUCGGUCGGUCGAUCAUUCGAAUGCCUACCGUCGAGUGUCGAUGUCCUGUUGGCUAUGUUAACUUCGACGGACAAUGCAGACCUCUGUUUCACGAUUUGGAUGACCAGGAAGUCGUUGAUGCCCAUUCAAAUGCUCUUAUCGAAUCCACAAAACUCGCCAUCCACACUGCCGUCAAUCACGUUGUUCAAAAGGCAGUGCACAACGCAGUGCAUAACGCAGUACAUAACGCAGUGCACAACGCAGUUCAACACGCUGUUCAUAACGCUGGAGGCAGUAACGUGUUCACCCAUUUUUCCCAACGUAAAUUUUAUUUCACAUCGCGGAUUGCAUUUACUACUAUUACAAAAAACACUAAAUAAUCUACUGCGCUAAUGAAAUGUACAUAAAAUAUGUUAUAACGAAUCACUAUCACUGAUAUUCAUAGUGCUGCUAUGCUCGUCGCUCUUAUCGAUGAAAUAAAUAAGAAUCAAGCCAAUAUUUCAUGUACGACGAGGGUGAUUCCUUGUAACAACUUUGUUCAUUCGUGUGUGUGUUAAUUCCAAAUACUUCAUUGGAACAUCGGACAUUAAAAAUUUAUUUAUUGUAAAAUUUCGUUUAUAAUAUAUUAUUUUAAUCUAUAAGUGUGAUUAAAUCAAUUUAUUUUUAAUUAUAAUUAACUUAAAGGA